GGCCGGAAUAGCUCAGUUGGUAGAGCAGAGGACUGAAAAUCCUCGUGUCAC
Molecule: transfer RNA, 51 nt
Filed under: Pseudohygrohypnum eugyrium
Lineage: Eukaryota; Viridiplantae; Streptophyta; Bryopsida; Hypnales; Pylaisiaceae
Also listed under: 5 other names
Description: partial tRNA-Phe
Rfam family: tRNA
About the family: Transfer RNA (tRNA) molecules are approximately 80 nucleotides in length. Their secondary structure includes four short double-helical elements and three loops (D, anti-codon, and T loops). Further hydrogen bonds mediate the characteristic L-shaped molecular structure. tRNAs have two regions of fundamental functional importance: the anti-codon, which is responsible for specific mRNA codon recognition, and the 3' end, to which the tRNAs corresponding amino acid is attached (by aminoacyl-tRNA synthetases). tRNAs cope with the degeneracy of the genetic code in two manners: having more than one tRNA (with a specific anti-codon) for a particular amino acid; and 'wobble' base-pairing, i.e. permitting non-standard base-pairing at the 3rd anti-codon position.
Source: RNAcentral